Molecule: transfer RNA, 57 nt
Filed under: Ictidomys tridecemlineatus (thirteen-lined ground squirrel)
Lineage: Eukaryota; Metazoa; Chordata; Mammalia; Rodentia; Sciuridae
Also listed under: 1 other name
Description: Spermophilus tridecemlineatus (thirteen-lined ground squirrel) tRNA
Rfam family: tRNA
About the family: Transfer RNA (tRNA) molecules are approximately 80 nucleotides in length. Their secondary structure includes four short double-helical elements and three loops (D, anti-codon, and T loops).
Source: Rfam by way of RNAcentral
UAGCUCAGUUGGUAGAGUAUUGCCUUACAUGCAGAAGGCCCUGGGUUCAAUCCCCAG